GAGUUUGAUCGUGGCUCAGAUUGAACGCUGGCGGCAGGCCUAACACAUGCAAGUCGGGCGGUAGAGAGAAGCUUGCUUCUCUUGAGAGCGGCGGACGGGUGAGUAAUGCCUAGGAAUCUGCCUGGUAGUGGGGGAUAACGCUCGGAAACGGACGCUAAUACCGCAUACGUCCUACGGGAGAAAGCAGGGGACCUUCGGGCCUUGCGCUAUCAGAUGAGCCUAGGUCGGAUUAGCUAGUUGGUGAGGUAAUGGCUCACCAAGGCGACGAUCCGUAACUGGUCUGAGAGGAUGAUCAGUCACACUGGAACUGAGACACGGUCCAGACUCCUACGGGAGGCAGCAGUGGGGAAUAUUGGACAAUGGGCGAAAGCCUGAUCCAGCCAUGCCGCGUGUGUGAAGAAGGUCUUCGGAUUGUAAAGCACUUUAAGUUGGGAGGAAGGGCAGUAAAUUAAUACUUUGCUGUUUUGACGUUACCGACAGAAUAAGCACCGGCUAACUCUGUGCCAGCCGCCGA
Molecule: ribosomal RNA, 514 nt
Filed under: uncultured bacterium
Lineage: Bacteria
Description: bacterial SSU rRNA
Rfam family: Bacterial small subunit ribosomal RNA
Source: RNAcentral